RNAcentral lists this long non-coding RNA (473 nucleotides) under Cottoperca gobio. RNAcentral's name for it is "lncRNA (ENSCGOG00000017762.1)". The record is from RNAcentral. Lineage: Eukaryota; Metazoa; Chordata; Actinopteri; Perciformes; Bovichtidae.
UACAGGGGGAUCCUGGUGUAAGAGGUCCCAUGGGUAACCCUGGGAAAGAAGGCCCAAAGGGAGUCAAAGGAGAGAGAGGGUUCCCAGGCCCAACGGGAGAUAAAGGUGAUGAGGGGCCUUUAGGAGUAUCAGGACUUCCUGGUGUGACCGGUCGUACAGGGUCCCCGGUAAGAAGCCUGUCUUAAUGUGUACUGAUAUUAUAUAGAAUCUCUUUCAUUAUUUUAUGACACAAAGUACCUUUUUAUAGUUACAGGUCUGUGUCUCGAGAUGUGCGAGUCCUUUUUUUUGAUGUUCAUGCUUAAAACAGGAUGCUGUUCUGUUUGCAGGGGCUUAUGGGUAGACCCGGGCCAAUGGGCCAACUAGGCGGAAAAGGAGAAAGAGUAAGUCUGUUUACUAUUUAAAGCAUUUAUCUAUAUAAUGUAGGUAGUGUGUAGGUCUUCAUGCGCUUUAUAUACAGUAAAGUAAUGUAAACG